AAAAAACCUAAUAUCUAUAAAAAUCAACAGGGGUAUAAAUUAACCUAACCUUAACCUAACCCCCUUCACAAAAAGUCAUCGCCCAAAGAAUACUUUUCUCAUUCUUCCUUUCCAUUUCAUCUGCUUUGCGCCUCAUCUCCAUCUCAUUCUUCCUUUCCCACACCAUCUAGCUGAACACAAAUCCACCUCUCUAUCUCCC
This 199-nucleotide long non-coding RNA is filed under the name Populus trichocarpa (black cottonwood). Its description in RNAcentral is "long non-coding RNA (PTRI_LNC002209)". The record is from RNAcentral. Lineage: Eukaryota; Viridiplantae; Streptophyta; Magnoliopsida; Malpighiales; Salicaceae.